GUGCUCACUUUGGCAGCAUAAAUAUUAAAAUUGGAACUAUACAGAGAAGAUUAGCAUGGCCCCUGUGCAAGGAUGACAUGCAAAUUUGUGAAGCAUUCCAUACUUUU
Molecule: small nuclear RNA, 107 nt
Organism: Jaculus jaculus (lesser Egyptian jerboa)
Lineage: Eukaryota; Metazoa; Chordata; Mammalia; Rodentia; Dipodidae
Source: Ensembl